This 543-nucleotide non-coding RNA is filed under the name Pongo abelii (Sumatran orangutan). The record is from RNAcentral. Lineage: Eukaryota; Metazoa; Chordata; Mammalia; Primates; Hominidae.
UAUGAGGUUGGAGCAGCUGUAGCCAUCUCCAUCUAUCGAGGGAACACAGGUUUGAGAACACAGUCAAGUCAGGACGAGAACAAGAGAGACGCUGGAUCUUGAGGACAGUGCUUGAGCCCUCGAAUCAAUCAAUGUCUAAACUAAUGGAAGGUCGAUGAAGACAUUUGGCCAGAGGACCCUGAAACACCUGAAUCCCACCUUUGACUGGCUAGCCCCAUUUCUCAGCAGUGCCUUCACAGGAGCGAGUAGGAAUAUAUCCAUAGAACACAUGCAGAUGGAUAAGCCAGGUUCUGGUCUCCAUUCCAGGAGAAUGCUAUUUGGGUGAAUUUUGGCUACAGUGUACGGACAUAAAGAAUUUGGGUCAUUCUUAUACCCAACAGAUCACAUCCAGGAAAUGUAUUCAAGAUGCUUUGAUCUCAUCUGAGGGGUGGCUAAGUACAACCCAUUCUUAAUAAAGCUAUUUAUAGUGAGAAGCAAUUUGGGUCAGGCCUGCCUUUCCAGUCUGCCUCAUUGGCAAAGUGGUAGGCCUCUGACUUCUGUCUC